UACGGAGGGUGCAAGCGUUAAUCGGAAUUACUGGGCGUAAAGCGCACGCAGGUGGCUGAGUCAGUCGAUUGUGAAAGCCCUGGGCUUAACCUGGGAAUUGCAGUCGAUACUACUCAGCUAGAGUAUGGGAGAGGGUAGUGGAAUUCCCGGUGUAGCGGUGAAAUUCGUAGAUAUUGGGAAGAACACCAGUGGCGAAGGCGGCUCACUGGCCCGGUACUGACGCUGAGGUGCGAAAGCGUGGGGGAGCAAACAGG
This 254-nucleotide ribosomal RNA is filed under the name uncultured bacterium. RNAcentral's name for it is "partial 16S ribosomal RNA". It matches the Rfam family "Bacterial small subunit ribosomal RNA", at positions 524 to 776 of the family's 1533-position model. The record is from RNAcentral.